GUCGAAGGUGUAAGUGCAGCAAUGUAUUUAGCUUAUCGAUACUAAUAGGUCGAGGACUUGACCAA
RNAcentral lists this ribosomal RNA (65 nucleotides) under Clostridioides difficile. RNAcentral's name for it is "partial 23S ribosomal RNA". Lineage: Bacteria; Bacillati; Bacillota; Clostridia; Peptostreptococcales; Peptostreptococcaceae. RNAcentral also lists the same sequence under 1 other name. The record is from RNAcentral.